AACACUAUGCCUCCCUGCCCUGUUCCCCUCAUGUUCAAGGUAUGGUCCUGAACACUAUGCCUCCCCGUUCCCUUCAUGUUUAAGGUAUGGCCCUGAACACUAUGCUUCCCUCAUGUUCAAGGUAUGGCCCUGAACACUAUGCCUCCCUGUUACCCUCAUGUUCAAGGUAUGGCUCUGAACACUAUGCCUCCCUGUUCUCCUCAUCUUUAAGGUAUGACCCUGAACGCUAUGCCUCCCUGUUCCCUUCAUGUUUAAGGUAUGGCCAUGAACACUACGCCUCCCUCAUGUUUAAGGUAUGGCCCUAAACACUAUGCCUCCCUGUUCUCCUCAUCUUUAAGUUUAAUUUUGACCACUGAAUGGAAACAUGUUUAUCCUGCCACUGGGUAUAUCUCUGAAGACAAAAUAUCUUCCUGGAACUCCGAACACGACAGCGUAGAGCUCUGGACACCUCGGGUCGCUGCAGUAGUACUCCCAGUGCAGUCGAAGCUCUUGCCCCAGGACAGCAUAUAAAUGGUUUGGUGGAGUUUUGGUGUAGUAGAAUGUACACUCUGUAGAUAUUUUAAAUCAGUUGGUGGUUUAAGUGAUGGCGAACAAUCUAAGCACACCAUUUUAUUAUUUUCAUCUUUUAUAAAACAUAAUUAUUGGCUAGGCUACUGUUAAGAUUACUAAUCAAUACUCAUGUUAAAAUAAAAACAUCGAUA
Long non-coding RNA from Nematostella vectensis (starlet sea anemone), 701 nucleotides. RefSeq lists it as uncharacterized. The record is from RefSeq and is a predicted model, not a curated record. The transcript is spliced from 2 exons. Lineage: Eukaryota; Metazoa; Cnidaria; Anthozoa; Actiniaria; Edwardsiidae.